This 460-nucleotide ribosomal RNA is filed under the name uncultured bacterium. Its description in RNAcentral is "partial 16S ribosomal RNA". It matches the Rfam family "Bacterial small subunit ribosomal RNA", at positions 338 to 795 of the family's 1533-position model. The record is from RNAcentral.
CCUACGGGAGGCAGCAGUGAGGAAUAUUGGUCAAUGGACGCAAGUCUGAACCAGCCAUGCCGCGUGCAGGAUGACGGCUCUAUGAGUUGUAAACUGCUUUUGUACGAGGGUAAACCCCGAUACGUGUAUCUGGUUGAAAGUAUCGUACGAAUAAGGAUCGGCUAACUCCGUGCCAGCAGCCGCGGUAAUACGGAGGAUCCGCGCGUUAUCCGGAUUUAUUGGGUUUAAAGGGUGCGUAGGUGGUUGGAUAAGUUAGAGGUGAAAUGUCGGGGCUCAACCCCGAAACUGCCUCUAAUACUGUUGGACUAGAGAAUAGUUGCGGUAGGCGGAAUGUAUGGUGUAGCGGUGAAAUGCUUAGAGAUCAUACAGAACACCGAUUGCGAAGGCAGCUUACCAACCUAUAUCUGACGUUGAGGCACGAAAGCGUGGGUAGCAAACAGGAUUAGAUAUCCUUGUAGUC